Molecule: long non-coding RNA, 4811 nt
Filed under: Marmota monax (woodchuck)
Lineage: Eukaryota; Metazoa; Chordata; Mammalia; Rodentia; Sciuridae
Source: RNAcentral
UUUUUUUUGAGACAGGGUCUCGCUAAGUUGCUUAGGGCCUCAUUAGGUUGCUGAGGCUGGCUGUGAACUUGCAAUCCUCCCGCCUCCGCCUCCCAAGUGGCUGGCAUCAUGGGUCCAUUCUGAUUGAAAGUCAAAGUCAUCGAGGGUGGAUCUCAAGCUUGGCAGCACGUUAGAGUGACCUGGGAAUUUAUAUGAAAUACCCACCUGUGCUCGGACUUCACCUCUAUCAAAUGAAUCAGACCCUUAGGAUGGAGACCGGACACGGACCAGUGAACGCUCCCGGGUAGUCCCCGGGUGCAGCGGUGGGUGCGAAGCCCGGACUCGGAUGCUCGUUCAGACUGACCCUGCUCGGCCCACGGGGUAGAUGACUUUCUCCUUCAAAUAACCUGCAAGACCCAUGUCACCAUCUUGGUAUUAGAAGAAACCAAGGCUCGGAGAUAAGGGAUUGCCCGGGUCGUGCGGCCGACGUGGCAGCCCCCAGUCCAGGGCCGCAGAGCCCGGUCCAGGGCCGGCCGCCAUCCAAAGCUGCUCCCCGACCUGGGCCCUUCGACGCCAUCCGCCUUCCUGCCCUUGAUUUCCCCGCUCUUCCCCGGGAGGAUGGGAAGCAUCGUGCCCAGGGCCAGGAGGCCCGCGCGCACCCAGCUCGGCAGUCCAGCCGCGGUGCUAGCACCUCCUAGAGGUUUAAUGACAACCCCGCUCUCGAAAACCCUAGGGAGAGGCCUGGUGUGGCCCGCCAGCCCCACUUCGGGUUUCCACCGGGUACACCUCCCAGGGUCCCUUGCGGUUAGCUGUGCUCACGUGACUGAGUUCUGGCCAAUGGGACUGAGCAGAAGUGAUGUCACCAUCUCCAGGCCCCGCCCACUGAAACCUCCCGGAUGAGGAGGCUCCUGUCUUCCCUGCUGCUGUCGCGAUAGGGUAGAGGGGGCUGUUGUGUGAGGGUCCCCGCAUGUACAGUGAGGACUUAGCGCGUGCCACCUCAUGAGCCCCAUAAAAAUGCAAACGCUCCCUCUGUUCUCUGCUCAGGGCUGUGAGGUCAGGGAUGUGCUCAUGGCUGGGCUGGGCCUCGCUGGAAAGGCACAGGGAGUGGGCCGUGGUUGGGAGCUGGGGUGGACAGACCUACGUCCAAACCUGCUCUGCCACUCAGGGCUCUGUGACCUUGAGCAAGUUAACCUUUUUGGCUUUUUUCUUCUUAAAAAAUGACCAAUUUUGCAUAAGAAGAGUAGAAAAACUAAGAGGAUUCUCUAUAAAAGAGUGUUUCUUAAAGUGUGGUCCGCAGACCAGACCAGCCUUCCCUGGGAACUUGUGGAAAAUGCAGAUUCUUGGGCGCAUCCAAACCUGGGAUUGGGCUUUUCCAUCUGCCCACUGGUGAAAGGACUUCUGGGGAAGUGCCCGGCAGGCCAUUGUGCUUGUUAUGUGACAAGCCCUCCUGGAAAGGUAUAGUUUGACAGUCGUGCACUGACCCUGAAGAAUGAGUAAUUGUUGCGAUCCUUGAGACUAAAACCCUCAGGGUCACUCCAGGGGAACUGGGCUGCACGAAAUAACCAUAAAGAGACAGAGAGACCUUUUUCUUAAGGGUCCUGUGACGGUUCCUCCGACCUUAAGGGUCUGCAGAGAGAGAGAGAGACAGAGCACACACAUACUAAACCUUUUUACUAGGGAGAAGCCAUUCAAAUGAGGCAAGGGGUCAGGUUUCAGGGGUUGAGUCUAGCUUCAUGAUGUCUACUGUCAGCAGGUUGACUGACAUCUAGGGAGGCCACACCCAAGGGCAGAACAAGAGAAGGGGACAUACAAAGGGUAUUUCCAUGGAACAUUCUACUCCAAACAGGGCAAAGGGGUAAUAUCACAAAGGAACAGGUGAGCGUAGCUCAAUCCAUGGGGCCACACGCCUACGUCUGAAGAUGUGUUCUCAACCUCCGUGACUAGGGCAAUGUCCAGGUCACUCCAAGAUGUAGUGAUGGUCAGAGCCUCGCCGCUCAGGGAAGGAGAAUGCGAAAUCAUUCAGCCUGGCUGCCACAGUAAUGUAUGGCAACAGCCCUGCACGUUGUUUUAGUCAGCUUUUUCACUGUGGAAUGUAGAGGAGGAAGAGUUAUUUGGGGGCUCCUGGUUUCAGAGGUCUCAAUCCACAGACAGCCGGCUCCAUUCCUCAGGGCUCGAGGUGAGGCAGGACAUCAUGGCGGAGAGUGCUUUGGAGGGAAGUGGGUCACAUGAUGGUCAGGAAGCAGAGACUCCACUCCUCAAUACAAAAAGUAUAUCCUACAGCCACGCCCCCCAGUGCCCCACCUUGAACACUGUUGCAUGUCAAUUUGGGUCAUUCACUCUUCUCUUUAUUGAGCACCUACUAUGUGCCAGUCACUGGGAUAAGUCCUGGGGAGCUACAGCAAUUAGGCAAUGGGGUGGUGUCCAGGCAGCUACCCUCAAGGACCUGGGCUUUCUGUGACCCCCAAGUUUCAGAAGGGGGAGGAGUAAAAAUGGGACAGUGUGUUCCCCCAAAAGAAAAAUCCAUGCACUGAUUCCGUAAAUAGUGAAGCACCUACUGUGGGCCAAGCAAGGUUCCACAGGGAGCAGGACAGAUGAGACCCCCCAUCGCGAAGCUUCCAUGAGACAGAAAAUCAUCCAGGGGGGGAAAAGUUGUGUAUUGUUAGAAAGGCUGCGAGUGCAUUUGAGUAUGGAUUUGAAAGGGGGUGAGGGUGUGAGCAGCACAGGAGAGGGACAGCGGAGGCCCUGAGGAGGGGCCCUGCCUGGCCUGAUCCAGGAGCCGCAGAAACCUUGGGGCAGGAACAGUGAGAGAGCAAGCAGGAGCCAGGACCAGGAGAGAGGAGAGGGGCCCCUGCACCAUGGGGAGGACUUUGGCUUUCACCCUGGGUGACACUGGGACUCAUCAGAGGGCCACCUAGGCAGGGCCCCCUGCCCUCAGCGGCUGCCUCCCUGGGUGCGUCGUGCCCUUAGGUCCCUGGGGACUUGGGAGCGACACGCCCAUUGGCCUCUCUCUGGGCCAGCAGCGCCAGCCUCUCCCGGGUUGUGUGUCGGGGCAGCUGUCCCCUUUACUGCCUUUGGCCGCGGUGCCCCUUCCCAGAUCCAGUCGCCGCCUCCCGCCCCACCAAUCGCAACAGCCAGUCAGUGCCAGCGACACCCCUGCCGCAGUCGCCAAGGGAAGAAUUCAAGGUAAAUGCGCACAGACGGAUGCUGCCGCUUAAAGGACCGAUUCAUCUCGCAAAAUGCCCCACUUACGACUGAAGUGGCACGCCGCAGAGCGGGUGUCUUGGUGGCAUGUUAAUGAAAUCGGGAAAACACUGGUGGAGCUGGCUGGGGGGGGUCCAAAGGAGCCAGUGGACAAGGACAAGGCGGGGACUCCCUGCCUCCAGGACCAAGAGCCUGUCCUCGCACCUGCCCUCCCACGUCUCCUCCACCUGACGAUGACAUCAAAUCAGAUCCACUCAUUCUUAUUCUGUGAGACUCAUAAGCCGUGGGAUAUACUGCGGCCCACUUCAUGGUUUCUAGAAAACUAAGGGCUCACAACUGGACAGUUCUCCCAGCCUUCCUCGCGGUCAGGAAUGUGCUGAGGGGUCAAAAUGGGGACAGAAGUGGCCACUGGGAGGCCUGGCCCAGAAAACCUCCCUUAUGAGGUGGGUGCCCUGGCUCACCUGUCACUCAGAGACUCAGGAGGCUGAGGCAGGAGGAUCGAAAGUUCAAGGCUAGCCUUGGCCAUUGAGUGAGACCUUGUCUCAAAAAAAAAAAAAAAAAAAAAUUUUUUUAAAGGGCUGUGGGGCUGGGGCUGGCGCUGGGGCUCAGGAGUGGCACACUUGCCUGGCAUGUGUGAGGCACUGGGUUGGAUUCUCAGCACCACAUAUAAAUAAAUAAAGGUCUAUCAACAACUAAAAAAAUAUAUAUAUAUGUAUAUGUAUAUUAAAAAAUAAUAAUAAAAGGGGCUGGGGAUGUAGCUCAGUGGUAGAUUAUCCCUGGAUUCAAUCCCUAAUACCACAAAAAUUGAUUAAUUAAUUAAUUAUUAAAUAAUAAAUAAAAUUUAGCUGAGCAACUACAAAGUUAAGACUACUUGCUCUUUUGAUCCCAAAAAGGAGUCUCUAAUAAAAAGUUAAUUACAUUGCAUCUUAAAAUACCAGCUCAUCUCAAAAUAGGCCAGCCUUAGAGAACUCAAACCACACAUGCACACACACACACUUCAUAAAGGUUAAAAGCAUUCCAUCAAAAUAAAGCAUAUGGUCACCCACAUCUGCAUUUAUUACGUCUAAUUGGAAGAGACAUAGUCAAGUACACGAAUAUUUUAGCAGUUUCCAACCUGCAAAUCACCGAGCCAAGACCCAAUUGCUUGCUAAUCAGCACACGCCCAGCUUUGCUACAUCAAGUUGGAACCAUGCCCCACCACUCCCUCGUGGCUGCAGUGUUCCAUGGGCUUUCGUUCUAAGUCCCUUGUCAUUUGUGCAGCCUUUCAAGAGCACCCCAUGCUCAGAAAGAUUUGAAAAGCCCCUUCUCGCCAGGUUUAUGCCCUUGAUUGAUGUCUGUGGGACACUAUGGGCAACCGCACGUUGUUGGGCCAUAAAAUCAAAUUGAAAAUCUGAAUCUCUUGAUGUAACCUCUGACUGAUCAGCUUUAAUAAAGAGAUUUUGGUGAUUGUUGUUUAACCCACUGAAUGCACGGUGAACACACGGGAAUGAGAAGGGAUUUAUUUUCUGAGCAAUUCUGAAGAAGUCCAGAGUUCUCCUACAGAGAGUAAGAUGAGAACAGGAUGAUAGUUAUUUUCCAAAAUAUUGGUCAUGUGGGUCUUUAUGCUCAGUAUUUCCACCAUGUCAGAAUAU